This 253-nucleotide ribosomal RNA is filed under the name uncultured bacterium. RNAcentral's name for it is "partial 16S ribosomal RNA". It matches the Rfam family "Bacterial small subunit ribosomal RNA", at positions 524 to 776 of the family's 1533-position model. The record is from RNAcentral.
UACGAAGGGGGCUAGCGUUGCUCGGAAUUACUGGGCGUAAAGGGAGCGUAGGCGGAUAUUUAAGUCGGGGGUGAAAGCCCAGGGCUCAACCCUGGAAUUGCCUUCGAUACUGGAUAUCUAGAGUAUGGGAGAGGUGUGUGGAACUCCGAGUGUAGAGGUGAAAUUCGUAGAUAUUCGGAAGAACACCAGUGGCGAAGGCGACACACUGGCCCAUUACUGACGCUGAGGCUCGAAAGCGUGGGGAGCAAACAGG